GACGAACGCUGGCGGCGUGCUUAACACAUGCAAGUCGAACGGAAAGGCCCUGCUUUUGUGGGGUGCUCGAGUGGCGAACGGGUGAGUAACACGUGAGUAACCUGCCCUUGACUUUGGUAUAACUUCAGGAAACUGGGGCUAAUACCGUAUAGGAGCUCCUGCUGCAUGGUGGGGGUUGGAAAGUUUCGGCGGUUGGGGAUGGACUCGCGGCUUAUCAGCUUGUUGGUGGGGUAGUGGCUUACCCAGGCUUUGACGGGUAGCCGGCCUGAGAGGGUGACCGGCGACAUUGGGACUGAGAUACGGCCCAGACUCCUACGGGAGGCAGCAGGGGGGAAUAUUGCACAAUGGGCGGAAGCCUGAUGCAGCAACGCCGCGUGCGGGAUGACGGCCUUCGGGUUGUAAACCGCUUUCGCCUGUGACGAAGCGUGAGUGACGGUAAUGGGUAAAGAAGCACCGGCUAACUACGUG
RNAcentral lists this ribosomal RNA (468 nucleotides) under uncultured bacterium. RNAcentral's name for it is "partial 16S ribosomal RNA". It matches the Rfam family "Bacterial small subunit ribosomal RNA", at positions 28 to 507 of the family's 1533-position model. The record is from RNAcentral.